AGGGCGCACGGUGGAUGCCUUGGCACUAGAAGCCGAAGAAGGACGUGACUAACGACGAAAUGCUUUGGGGAGCUGUAAGUAAGCGCUGAUCCAGAGAUGUCCGAAUGGGGGAACCCACUAGUUAAUGACUAGUAUCCAUAUCUGUUAAGGAUAUGAGAAGGAAGACGCAGUGAACUGAAACAUCUAAGUAGCUGCAGGAAGAGAAAGCAAAAGCGAUUGCCUUAGUAGCGGCGAGCGAAACGGCAGGAGGGCAAACCGAAGUGUUUACACUUCGGGGUUGUAGGACUGCGAUAUAGGAUUAAUCAUUAUAGAAGAAUUACCUGGGAAGGUAAGCCAAAGAGAGUAACAGCCUCGUAUUUAAAAUGAUAGAUUAACCUUAGCAGUAUCCUGAGUACGGCGAGACACGCGAAAUCUCGUCGGAAUCUGGGAGGACCAUCUCCCAACCCUAAAUACUCUCUAGUGACCGAUAGUGAACCAGUACCGUGAGGGAAAGGUGAAAAGCACCCCGGGAGGGGAGUGAAAUAGAACCUGAAACCGUGUGCCUACAACAAGUUCGAGCCCGUUAAUGGGUGAGAGCGUGCCUUUUGUAGAAUGAACCGGCGAGUUACGAUAUGAUGCGAGGUUAAGUUGAAGAGACGGAGCCGUAGGGAAACCGAGUCUUAAUAGGGCGCCAUAGUAUCAUGUUGUAGACCCGAAACCAUGUGACCUACCCAUGAGCAGGUUGAAGGUGAGGUAAAACUCACUGGAGGACCGAACCAGGGCACGUUGAAAAGUGCUUGGAUGACUUGUGGGUAGCGGAGAAAUUCCAAACGAACUUGGAGAUAGCUGGUUCUCUCCGAAAUAGCUUUAGGGCUAGCGUCGAUGUUAAGUCUCUUGGAGGUAGAGCACUGUUUGGGUGAGGGGUCCAUCCCGGAUUACCAAUCUCAGAUAAACUCCGAAUGCCAACGAGAUAUAAUCGGCAGUCAGACUGCGAGUGCUAAGAUCCGUAGUCGAAAGGGAAACAGCCCAGACCACCAGCUAAGGUCCCAAAAUAUAUGUUAAGUGGAAAAGGAUGUGGGGUUGCACAGACAACUAGGAUGUUAGCUUAGAAGCAGCUAUUCAUUCAAAGAGUGCGUAAUAGCUCACUAGUCGAGUGACCCUGCGCCGAAAAUGUACCGGGGCUAAAACAUAUUACCGAAGCUGUGGAUGACACAAAAGUGUCAUGGUAGGAGAGCGUUCUAUGUGUGAAGAAGGUGUACCGUGAGGAGCGCUGGAACGCAUAGAAGUGAGAAUGCCGGUAUGAGUAGCGCAAGACAGGUGAGAAUCCUGUCCACCGUAAGACUAAGGUUUCCAGGGGAAGGCUCGUCCGCCCUGGGUUAGUCGGGACCUAAGGAGAGACCGAAAGGUGUAUCCGAUGGACAACAGGUUGAUAUUCCUGUACUAGAGUAUAUAGUGAUGGAGGGACGCAGUAGGCUAACUAAACCAGACGAUUGGAAGUGUCUGGUCAAACAGUGAGGUGUGAUAUGAGUCAAAUGCUUAUAUCUUUAACAUUGAGCUGUGACGAGGAGCGAAGUUUAGUAGCGAAGUUAGUGAUGUCACACUGCCAAGAAAAGCUUCUAGCGAUACAUAUACUCUACCCGUACCGCAAACCGACACAGGUAGUCGAGGCGAGUAGCCUCAGGUGAGCGAGAGAACUCUCGUUAAGGAACUCGGCAAAAUGGCCCCGAAACUUCGGGAGAAGGGGCGCUGAUUUUAGAUCAGCCGCAGUGAAUAGGCCCAAGCAACUGUUUAUCAAAAACACAGCUCUCUGCUAAAUCGUAAGAUGAUGUAUAGGGGGUGACGCCUGCCCGGUGCUGGAAGGUUAAGAGGAGUGCUUAGCGUAAGCGAAGGUAUGAAUUGAAGCCCCAGUAAACGGCGGCCGUAACUAUAACGGUCCUAAGGUAGCGAAAUUCCUUGUCGGGUAAGUUCCGACCCGCACGAAAGGCGUAAUGAUUUGGGCACUGUCUCAACGAGAGACUCGGUGAAAUUUUAGUACCUGUGAAGAUGCAGGUUACCCGCGACAGGACGGAAAGACCCCAUGGAGCUUUACUGCAGUUUGAUAUUGAGUAUCUGUACCACAUGUACAGGAUAGGUAGGAGCCUAUGAUAACGGGACGCCAGUUUCGUUUGAGGCGUUGUUGGGAUACUACCCUUGUGUUAUGGCUACUCUAACCCAGAUAGGCAAUCCCUAUCGGAGACAGUGUCUGACGGGCAGUUUGACUGGGGCGGUCGCCUCCUAAAAGGUAACGGAGGCGCCCAAAGGUUCCCUCAGACUGGUUGG
This 2298-nucleotide ribosomal RNA is filed under the name Streptococcus agalactiae. Its description in RNAcentral is "bacterial LSU rRNA". It matches the Rfam family "Bacterial large subunit ribosomal RNA", at positions 14 to 2334 of the family's 2925-position model. The record is from RNAcentral. Lineage: Bacteria; Bacillati; Bacillota; Bacilli; Lactobacillales; Streptococcaceae.